Patella vulgata (common limpet) is the source of this 1201-nucleotide long non-coding RNA. RefSeq lists it as uncharacterized. The record is from RefSeq and is a predicted model, not a curated record. The transcript has 7 exons. Lineage: Eukaryota; Metazoa; Mollusca; Gastropoda; Patellidae.
CGUGGUCUGAAUUCUUUGAUGAUCGAGAUUUGUUGGCAUGGAUUUCAAAUUGUUGGAUAUUAUUUUUUAGCUCUGCAUAAUUACGUUGGAGCACUUCCCGGUUAAAAGUUUACCUUGUGUCCAUAUCCGUGUCUACUCUGUGUUACUAUUUACAUCCUGGAACAGUUGUCAUUUGAUUGGACAACUAAAAUUCAGAAUUAGUAUAAAUAGAUGGUCAAUUUCUAGGGUUGCAAGUUAUAUCAACAAGAAUGUCGCCACCUAGUAUAGAUCUACAGCAUAAAUCGGUGUCUAGUUUCCAACCGACAACAGUCCAAAUGGAAAGUGUUCAUCCCAAGAAAAAUAAUAAGAAAUGUUUAUAUAUAAUAAUUACUACUUUGGUUGCUACAGUUGUUGUAUCGGCUAUUGUGUUUGGUGCCAUAGCAUGGCAUUACCAUUUAUUUACUAAAGAGAAGUUUGAUACCCUGACAAAUAUUGAUGGUCGUGUAAUACCUGAACACGUAAAAGUUGAUUUCGUCAAUAAAAUAAUUUUUGUUAACAAUGAAAGAAAUGGAGAUAUCGAUAAACUCAGUGCUUUACAUAAUUACGAUCGAAAAAUGAUAGCUUUUAAAGAUUUGACUAAUGGUAGAUGCUAUAUUGAUCGUCAUGAUGAAACUUUUGAGGAGGGUCUUAAAUCAUGGACUGGUCGUGAGGGCAAGGAAAGGGUUCCACCAAACCGAUAUUUCCGCUACAUCCAGGAACCUAUUGACAGUGACGUUUUAAGAACAUUUGCAGGUCAACAUAUUGUUGACCACUGUGCUGACGUACCAACACAUUGGAUUGUUGAUAUUGACACUAAAGACAUACCAAACGCAGAAGAGUUCACCAACAAAACCGUUCAGUUUAUUUGUGGGCCAAGAAAUAUUUGUACCAAAUGUCCAAUCAUAUUUCGGCCAGGUCCUCCACCAACGUUUCCCGAAGAGGUGCUAGCAUGAUACGUCAUUUGGUGAAGAAUUUCUGGUGAAAUAUGAAUUUUGAUGAAGAGUUUUGUGUAUAAGGCGGCUUGUGAUAAAAAAGACUUUCUCGGCUUGUGAUAUUUUAUUAUUAUUAUGUAGACAAUUUUCACUCGUCAAAUAAUUUUAGUCGUAGAAUCAUUUGUAUACAUUUAUAAAUACAUGGAAAAUAAUUUUCCAAAAAUCCUCUGAAUAAAUUGUUUUAAAAAAUA